Ostrinia furnacalis (Asian corn borer) is the source of this 918-nucleotide RNA transcript. It is a transcript of the gene named 1,2-dihydroxy-3-keto-5-methylthiopentene dioxygenase-like, with no coding region annotated. Lineage: Eukaryota; Metazoa; Arthropoda; Insecta; Lepidoptera; Crambidae. The transcript has 6 exons. The record is from RefSeq and is a predicted model, not a curated record.
UGUCAAAAAGUUUUAUUGCGAUUUGCGUGCGAUUGCUGCUUGCUGCGUUGCGUAGUUUCGCAAGAAUUAAUUUAGUUUUUAAAUACCUUUAAAAAAGUUAAACAUGAACAAGGCGUGGUAUAUGGACGACGAGACAAGUGAUCAACGCUUACAACACCACAGGAACCCACCAGAGUUCAUCUCUCUCGACGAAUUGUACAAGAAAACCGGUGUGGAAAUAUUCGUCCUGAAUGUGGACACCUAUGCUACGGAUGGUGUGUUCGACAAAAUCAAGAAGGACCGAGGCUACAGUUACGAAGAUGAGCUAGUGUGCUCUAAAGAAUGCUUCGGGCAAGCAUACGAAGAGAAACUCAAGUCAUUCUACACCGAACAUAUUCACACUGAUGAAGAAAUCAGGUUCGUCCUGGAAGGCUCCGGGUACUUCGACGUGCGCGACGACAAAGACCAGUGGAUCCGCAUCCUGGUGACUCCUGGCGACCUGGUGGUGCUGCCUAAAGCCAUCUACCAUCGGUUCACUCUUGACACCAAGAACCACAUCAAAGUGAAGCGGCUGUUCAUCGGGACACCAGUAUGGCAGGCCUACAACCGGCCGGCGGACGACAUGGAGUGCCGCCGCGUGUACGUGUCUCAGCAGCGCCAGGGCUUCGCCACCGCCUUCUGACCGCACGAUGUUCGAGCAAAAUGAUCAUCUUCUUCCUAUGGUACGCCGCCAUCGCCUACGGUUACUACGCGGAAUGGAAAUCUCAUCGCGAUACAGACGAAGGGACACAAACGAAUACGUCGUCAGCUAAGGGAUCUAAAACGUCAAACGAUGUUUGUCUAGAACCUGAUACUCCUUUAGUAACCAUUGCUCCAGCGAAGGAUGAAUCUCCAGUGCCAAGUCCUAAUCCAGCGAGUCCUGAACCAGCGAGUCCCGAA